GAUGAACGCUGGCGGCGUGCCUAAUACAUGCAAGUCGAGCGAACAGAUAAGGAGCUUGCUCCUUUGACGUUAGCGGCGGACGGGUGAGUAACACGUGGAUAACCUACCUAUAAGACUGGGAUAACUUCGGGAAACCGGAGCUAAUACCGGAUAACAUAUUGAACCGCAUGGUUCAAUAGUGAAAGGCGUCUUUGCUGUCACUUAUAGAUGGAUCCGCGCCGUAUUAGCUAGUUGGUAAGGUAACGGCUUACCAAGGCAACGAUACGUAGCCGACCUGAGAGGGUGAUCGGCCACACUGGAACUGAGACACGGUCCACACUCCUACGGGAGGCAGCAGUAGGGAAUCUUCCGAAAUGGGCGAAAGCCUGACGGAGGAACGCCGCGUGAGUGAUGAAGGUCUUCGGAUCGGAAAACAGUGUUAUCAGGGAAGAACAAAUGUGUAAGUAACUGUGCACAUCUUGACGGUACCUGAUCAGAAAGCCACGGCUAACUACGUG
This 497-nucleotide ribosomal RNA is filed under the name uncultured bacterium. RNAcentral describes it as "partial 16S ribosomal RNA". It matches the Rfam family "Bacterial small subunit ribosomal RNA", at positions 28 to 507 of the family's 1533-position model. The record is from RNAcentral.